This 568-nucleotide long non-coding RNA is filed under the name Homo sapiens (human). RNAcentral's name for it is "HSALNT0035899". Lineage: Eukaryota; Metazoa; Chordata; Mammalia; Primates; Hominidae. The record is from RNAcentral.
GCACUCUGCAGCCACCGGGAUGAGGCUGAGCGCCGGUUUUCGGCCUCGUGGCGCCGCUGGGGCCACAGCCUGACUUCACCACCCCGUCGCCCAAGUCCUAUGAUGGGCAGGUGUGAGGAGGGGCAAUCGGGGUUCCCAAGGCUGCUGCCUGCAUGCCACUCCGUGAGGAAGUUGAAAUACAUGGUCUCUAAGAUUCCUUCCAGCUCUUCACCUCAUGAGACAUAUAAAUCAAGUAACAUUCGUUAUUGUGAUUAGAAAAGCUGCAUUUACACACGUUAGCCACUAGAUGGGGACGUGCGAUUGUUACAAUGCUGAAGGUUUCCCGUAUUUCUUUAUUUUUUAUUUGGCCGCUAGAGGGCACGCCUGCACUGCACUUAAAGUUGACUACUUUCAAGGAAAGACAAAGGAAUUCUUGGAUUUCUCCAUUUUCCUCAUCACCUGUGCUUAUCAGAGAAUUCCAGGGGCAAGCUACCCUUUCCAAUUCAUCACUAACUUAUAAACAAAAUUCUAAGGAGUAAGGAAUGCUUCUUACUUACUUCCUAUAACAUACGUAAGAAUGAACGCUCAA